UCCUGGUUUCCCAGGCAGUCUCGCCAGAGUGCUUAAUCCGAAGACAAUUGCAACUGACGACAAGGGUUGCGCUCGUUAAAGGACUUAACCCAACAUCUCACGACACGAGCUGACGACAGCCAUGCAGCACCUGUGUAAAUGUCUAACCCGAAGGCUAGAAGACCGUAUCUCUACGGCUGUCAUAAACAUGUCAAGCCUAGGUAAGGUUCCUCGCGUAGUGACGAAUUAAACCACAUGUUCCACCGCUUGUGCGGACCCCCGUCAAUUCCUUUGAGUUUUAGUCUUGCGACCGUAAUCCCCAGGCGAAUCACUUAUCGCGUUAGCUUCGACACUAAUUCGGAUAAACCAAACUAACGUCUAGUGAUCAUCGUUUACGGUGUGGACUAC
RNAcentral lists this unclassified non-coding RNA (387 nucleotides) under uncultured bacterium. Its description in RNAcentral is "contains 16S-23S intergenic spacer region". The record is from RNAcentral.